Molecule: long non-coding RNA, 17526 nt
Filed under: Citrus x clementina
Lineage: Eukaryota; Viridiplantae; Streptophyta; Magnoliopsida; Sapindales; Rutaceae
Description: Citrus clementina (C. clementina) long non-coding RNA (CCLE_LNC000624)
Rfam family: Small nucleolar RNA Z247 (bases 9646-9782)
Source: RNAcentral
AAUGAACAGGACCAGUAGGAGCAUGAGAGGAGUAAGAGAAAUAAAUGUUUGUGGAGUUCCAUUUCUCUGUAUUCCGCGGGGUGAAGUAAGAGAAAUAACUGCUUUUGGUGUUCCAUUUCUCUGGAUUCCGCUGCAUGAGGCUUUCUGGCUGUGUUGUUGUAUUCAAUGGUAUUGGAUCCUGUUUUCUUGUACAUUCCUGUGACCAACGAUGGGAAAAAGUGCUUCCAAUUUGACAGAUGGGUGAUGAGUGUGGCUAUUGCUGAACGUUCAGCAUUUGGUAUUUGGUAUUUGACAAAUAGAACUUCAGAAAUACGGGAGAGUAUACAUCGAAAUUAUAGCAAAUCUCUGUUGCCCGUCUUCCUACUUGAUCUCGCCAUCAUUCUUCCACUCCCACAGGUCAUUGUUUGUUCUGUCAACUUUUAAUUUGUUUGUUCCAACUUGCGAAGGAGGGGCACACACGCACACCUCUGACCGCCCAAAGUAAUUUAUGUUGGAUUCCUAGCAAGCAUGUAUAGGUUGUAUUUUGUACGGUUAAUAUAUAUAUUUUUUUUAAUAUCUACAAACUAUUCAGGUGUUGGUGCUUCUAGCUUAUAGUCAAAGAAUUAGUGGCCAGGAAUUUUUCUCUCUGAUGAACCUGUUUCUUGUACAACAUGGGUUAAAGGUUAUCCGAUUGGCUAAAUUGAUUACAGAAUGGAAGAAUUCAUAUAACCUUAAUAAAUGGGCCAAUCUGACGUUCAAUUUCGGUUACCUACAUGCUGCUAAUGUAAGUUUACUUGCCUCUCAACUCUCCAAAAUGUUCUAUUUCUCUUUACUGUUUUUUUGGGUAAUUUAUAGUUCCCGGGAUCUACUUGAUGGUUCUUUAGGUGUUUGGAUCAUUAUGGUACUUUUUCGCCGUACAAAGAAAGGCUGAAUGUUGGAAGAAAGCCUGCACAGAUUUUACCAGAUGUGGCCUCCUUCCUUUACACUGUGAUGACAGUUUAACAAACUACACAUUUUCUAGUGAUUUUUGCUCUACAAAGACUCAAAAUGCAACUAUCUAUGAUUUUGGGAUAUUCCGUGAUGCUAUUCAAUCUGGUGUUUUGGAUCAAAACAAUUUUUUUCGGAGGUACUUGCCUUGUUUUCAAUGGAGCCUGCAAACUCUCAGGUUAAGUUGUGAAUAUACAUCAUUCUUCUUGUAACAAUCUUUUUGUGUACGCCUUUCUUUGUUUUUUGUGCAUAUAUUAAAGCAUACGUAUUUUUGUGUUUUUUAUCAAUUAAACUCAAAACAUUGGUUCUAACACAUUUGUGGGUUUGACUUUUGCAGUUGUUUUGGUCAAGGUCUCCCGUUAAGUACCAAUGUCUUGGAAAACAUCUUUGUAAUUUCAAUUACCAUCACUGGGGUAGUGUUGUUUUUCUUUUUGAUUGGAAAGGUUCAGGUUGGUGUACCUUAUGUUUUCAUUUUUUUUCUUUUAAUCAUCUGCAUCUUGUCUCUCAAAAUUGGUUUUUAUGAUUGAUUAAGAGGAAGCGCAAUAAAUUUUACUUUUCUAUGAACCAUGAUUCUUGGGCAAUGUGCAGUCUGAAACGUCAAAAGUAUAUGAGAUAAGACAGAAGGUACGAGAAAUAGACCGGUGGCUGCCCUUUGGAAAGCUCCCUAAGAAACUCCAAAAGGAGAUCAAGGAAGAUCAGACGUCGAAAUUGCAAACCACGGGUGUUGACGUAGAGUAUAUGGUGAAUCAUCUUCCAAGGCACCUCAGAAAGAACAUAAAACAGAAGCUCUGCUUAGACUUGCUAAAAAAAGUGAGUGAGAAAUCUUUACAACUAUAUUUGUGUCUGCUAUUCGUUAAUUUGUGAAAUUGACAAAGGAGAACUAAUAAAAAUAUUUUGCAUAGUUUUGAAAGCGCAAUCGCUAAAGUCCACAUCACCUCAACGUGAACUCAAACCUGAUAUGUUUUAGUGUUAGGGAAUGAAUCUCAUUUCAGCUGAGAUAGUUCUAGAUCACAUUUUAUUUUCAAUUUUCUUCAUUCAGAAGCUGAAUUUCAUUAUCAGCAUCAUGCCUUUUAGAUUAUAGUAACGAUAUUGGAUGUAUGUUUGUAUAGGUAGAAGAGUUUGGAAACUGGAGUCAUUCAUCGUUGGAGACACUGUGUGAUGUUGUGAAGCCAGUCGUCUUCACAGAGCGCUCUUACGUUCUCCGGGAGGGAAACCCAAUUGAUCAAAUGCUCUUCGUGCUGCAAGGCAAGUUAUGGACCUACACUUCCAGGAGCAUAACUGGAUUCUCAAGCAAUUCUGGUAACCUGAACAACCAUCUGGAAGAUGGUGACUUUUCUGGAGAAGAACUCAUUGCUUGGGCAAAGGCUGACCGCGACUCAUCCAACCUCCCUAUAUCAACUAAAACAAUUCAAGCUCUUACAAAUGUUGAAGCAUUUGUUCUUAUGGCAGAUGAUUUAAAGCAGGUACUAUUGAAUAUUGAUCAUUAAGCAAAACAUUGCACUGGAUGUAUACAUGUAUUCUGACAAACUAGAUGGAGUGCACAAGCGUCCGCACAAGGAACGCCACCAUCCAACCUCCCUAUAUCAACUAAAACAAUUCAAGCUCUUACAAAUGUUGAAGCAUUUGUUCUUAUGGCAGAUGAUUUAAAGCAGGUACUAUUGAAUAUUGAUCAUUAAGCAAAACAUUGCACUGGAUGUAUACAUGUAUUCUGACAAACUAGAUGGAGUGCACAAGCGUCCGCACAAGGAACGCCACCAUCGCCAUCUACAAUAAUAUUUGGGCGUUCAGAUCUGGUACAGCAACGUUAGUAUUUUAGGCCUUGUUCAUGAUCUUAAUUAAGGACCUAUCUCAAUAAUAAAUUUGGACGAAAGUAUUUGAGUUUGAGAUAUUAGAAACCGAAGCCUGAUACAGUUGAUGUGUAUAUAUAUGAAGUUAGCAAAACUCCUUUAUAGUGUUUGAUUAUAUAUAGUGUUUGAAAUUAAAUUUAAGGAUUAGUCUUUAACAAAUGAGAUUUCUUAUCUCCAUUUAAGGAUUAGUCUUUAACAAAUGAGAUUUCUUAUCUCCAUUUAAAACCUUUAUUAGUAUAAUACAAUUUCAAAAAAAAUUUAAAUAACAAUAUAUGACCCUUGAUUUAUUUUUUACACAAAAUUUCAGUGUUUGAACUAGCAGAAAGUAAGUUCAAUUUGUGAACUAGAGAUGAGCACUGAACUUUUCAUAAUUUUAACACUCAAAUGGGAUAUUUUUAUAAAUUCUAAGGAAGAAAGGUCAGUGGUCAUCAAAAAGUUUCUAAAACCACCUGGGACACAGGCCCCAACUGUUCCUACCAUUGCUCAAAUUUGUAAUAGGCAUCGUGACAUUGUUCACAAGUUUGGAUUUGGAUCCUUAACAAGUUCAUAUUUCUAAGGCUUAUAUUUAUCUUGAGCAAAAAGCACAAAGAUCCAAUUCUACUAGUGAGCAAAAAGCACAAAGGGACGUGAUAGAGUUGCAGCCUCUUGGGGCCAAAAUUUUGGUUAAUGAACCGUAGAUUGAGAUUAUGCAUAUGGAUAAGUUCUAACCUCAAGUCGUAGCUAUUAGUUGCCUCCGGCCCCAGCUCAAUCAACAGGUGCUACAGAAAUUACAUAAUUAUUGAAUUUUUUUUUUUUUUGGUUGUUUGAUUGAUUGUGUAAGAAGUCAAUGUCUUGAGGAACCACAGUGCGUAGAUAUUUAUUAGCGCAUAGGAUAAGCAUGCUCUGAACUCCGAAGACUCAGCCACUGAAGUGAUGAUUUGUGAAGGAUCCACCUGUAUUUAAUUGAAGGAAACUGAAAUUAAGCUUCGCUUCAUUUACUUAAAUUUUCCUUCCCCUUGGUUGAUUAUGUAAGCCUUAAGCGAGUUGUUUAUUAAUUUGACGAUAUACGUAUAGAGCCUUACUGAGCUGAGGUACAGGCCAUAUGUUAUUACAAUUAUUGUAUAUGGUGAUGACGAUGAAGUUGAUUUUAUUUUUUCAGGUCUCAGCACUCGAAUUUAGAGGAAGGAACGCCGAGACUGGUUGCUGGUGUUGAAAUGGACAGCAUCAGUAGGAGCGAGAGAGAAGCAACAGUAUCUGCUUUUCGAACUGUGAUCGAAAGCUUGGGUAAUGGAGAAAAAACAUCUCUUCGGCAGAUUCGUAAUCUGCCGAGACGUUUCCUGGAUGCUACGAGACGUUACCCGGAUGCUAAUUUUUGGCUGAUUUAUGUGUAUUCCAUAAUAUUUGAUCCUGUUUUCUUGUACCUUCCCGUGAUCAACGAUGGCAAAAAGUGCUUCCAAUUUGACAUAGCCCUUAUGAUUUUGGUUAUUGUUGAACGUACAGCAUAUGAUAUAUUGUUUUUGAUGAAAAAAGCUUUACGAAUAGGGGAGAAUGUACAUCGAAAUUUUAGCAAAUCUCGGUUGGCCGUCUUCCUAUUUGAUCUCGCCUUCAUUUUUCCACUCCCACAGGUAAAUGUUUGUUCUGUCGUACUUUUUACUUAUUUGUUCCAACUAGCCAAGCAAGGGCACACGCGCAUACCUAUGGGCGCCCAAAAGUAAUUUAUGUUGGAUUCCUAGCAAGCACGCAUAGGUUGUAAUUUGUACGAUUAAUUUCCAUUUUUUUUUUUCCUUUUCAUAUGGAAUCAUAUUUCAUAAUUGAUAAUUCUAUCUUUAUGGUGUACAAACUGUUCAGGUGUUGGUGCUUCUAGUUUAUAAUCGACUAAUGAAUGUCCAGCAAUUUUUCCAUGUGAUGAACCUGUUUAUCGUCCAACAUUUGCUAAAGGUUAAGCGAUUGUAUGCAUUGAUUAAAAAAAGGAAGAAUUCAUAUAAGCAUACUAAAUGGGCCAGACUUACGUUCAAUCUCUUUUACCUACAUGCUGCUAAUGUAAGUUUACUUGCCUCCCAAGUCUCCAAUAUAUUCUAUUUCUCUUUACUCUUUUUUGGGUAAUUUAUAAUUCCUGAUGAUCUACUUGAUGGUUGUUUAGGGGUUUGGAGCAUUAUGGUACUUUUUUGCUCUACAAAGAAAGACCGAAUGUUGGAGGAAAGCCUGCACAGGUUCUACCAAAUGCCGUCUCCUUCCUUUGCACUGUGACAACAGUUUAACAAACUACACAUUUUCUAAUGAUUUUUGCUCUACAAAGACUCAAAAUGCAACUAUCUAUGAUUUUGGGAUAUACGUUGAUGCUAUUAAUUCUGGUGUUAUGGAGCAAAACAGUUUAUCUCUGAGGUUCUUGCUUUGUAUUCGAUGGAGCCUGCAAAAUCUCAGGUUAAGUUGUGGAUAUACAUCAUUCUCCUUGUAACAAUCUUUGUGCAUAUGCCUUUCUAUGUUUUUUGGGCAUAAAAUUACGCAUACGUAUUUUUAUGUUUUUUUAGCAAUUAAACUCAAAAACAUUGGUUCUAAAUUUCUAAUAAAUUUGUGGGUUUGACUUUUGCAGUUCUUUUGGUCAAGGUCUCCCAUUCAGUACUAAUGUCUUGGAAAACUUCUUUGUGAUUUCAAUUACCAUCACUGGAGUAGUGCUGUUUUUCUUCUUGAUUGGAAAGGUCCAGGUUGGUGUAUCUUUAUUUUAUGUUAUUUUAUUUUUUUCUCGUCUGAUUCUUGUCUCUUAAAAUUGGUUCUUUAUGCUUGAUUGAGAUGAAGCGCAAUAAAUUUUAAUUUUCCAUAAACCAUUAUUCUCGCGCAAUGUGCAGUAUGAAAUGUCAAAAGCAGAGGAGAUAAGACAGAAGGUACAAGAAAUACACCAGUGGCCGCCCUUUGGAAAGCUCCCUAAGGAACUCCAAAAGAAGGUCAGGAGACAUGCGGCAUCCAAAUUGCGAGGAACCACAGGGGUUGAUGUAGAAAUGGUGAAUAAUCUUCCAGAGGACCUCAGAAAGAGCAUAAAACAAAACCUCUGCUUAGACCUGCUAAAAAAUGUGAGUAAGAAAUCUUUACAACUAUAUUUGUCCCUCCUACUUCUGAAUUUGUGGAACUGACAAAGAAGAGGCUGGCAACAUAUAAACAGCAAUCCGAAAAACUAAUGAAAAUAUUUUCCUCUUCUUUAACUCAAUCGAAUAAACUCAAGGGUAAAUGUUUGUAACUAUUUGAACUUCUGCAUGGUUUUGAAAGCGCAAUAGCUAAGGUUCACAUCACCUCAAUGGAAACUCAAGCCUGACAUGUGUUUAGUGAUGGGGAAUGAAUCUCAUUUUAGCUGAGAUAGUUCUAGAUCAAUUUUUAUUCUCUUCAUUCAGAAGCUGAAUUUCAUUAUCAGCAUCGAGCCUUCUAGAUUAUAGUAAUGAUAUUGGAUGUAUGUUUGUUUAGGCAGAAGAGUUUGGAAAGCAGGAUGUUUCAUCGUUGAAGAAACUGUGUGAUGUUGUGAAGCCAGUUGUCUUCACAGCGCGCUCUUACAUUCUCCAGGAGGGAAACCCAAUUGAUCAAAUGCUCUUCGUGCUGCAAGGCAAGUUAUGGACCUACACUUCCAGGAGCAUAGCUGGAUCCUCAAGCAAUUCUGGUAACCUGAACAACCAUCUGGAAGAUGGUGACUCUGCUGGAGAAGAACUCAUUGCUUGGGCGAAGGCUGACCGCGACUCAUCCAACCUCCCUCUAUCAACUAAAACAAUUCAAGCUCUUACAAAUGUUGAAGCAUUUGUUCUAAUGGCAGAUGAUUUGAAGCAGUUGCUUUUGAAUAUUGAUCAUUAAGCAAAACAAUGCAGCUCGCUGCAUACAAGUAUUCCGACAAACUAGAAAGAAUGCACAAGCGUCCGCACAAUGAACGCCACCAUCGCCAUCUACAAUAAUAUUUUGGGCAUUCAGAUCUGGUGCAGCAACGUUAGUAUUUUAGGCCUUGUUCAUGAUCUUAAUUAAGGACCUAUCUCAAGAAUAAAUUUGGACGAGAGUAUUUUGAGUUUGAGAUAUUAGAAACCGAUGCCUGAUACGGUUGAUGUGUAUAUAUAAAGCUAUCAAAACUCCUCUACAGUGUUGAUUAUAUAUAUAUAUAUUUAUGCUAAUUUCAAGUUCGGAUUGCAGUAUGGAGCAAAGUUUUCAUGUUUCAACCGACGAUUCAUUUUGUUCCAUUUUAAAAUCACACUAAUUUGCAUAUAAUGCGUCCCUGAUUUUAAUAUUUAUUCCAUAUUAUAAUGGUUUUUGAGGAUGAGAGAGUCCGUGCCCUCGUUGAAAAUUUCAUUAAUCGACCCAUUGCUGAGAUGGCCAUUGGCAAAACUACUGUAAUAAAAGAAAAUCUAACUUCACCCAUAAUCAUAUGACUUUCAUCUAGUUUAAAAGUAAGCUAUUAAAAUAAGUGGUCAUCUGUUAUAUACAAAGUGCUUUACCCGUGUAAACUCCUUGUAUGAGCAUAUUGAACUUAUAACUUCUGAGAUUAGUGCCCGACAGAUACCUUCGAAUUCAAUUUUUUUGCAGUUCUUUUGGUCAAGGUCUCCAAACAAGUGCCAAUCCAUGGGAAAACAUCUUUGCAGUUUGCAUUAGUGUAUCUAGCAUGUGGCUACUUGUUAUUUUUGUUGGACAAAUCCUGGUUCAUCAUUUUUUUUUUUUUAUCUCCAAGAUAGUUUUAUCUGCUGCUUAAGAUGAAGCGCAGUGACUUUUAAUUUCUAUGGACUCUAGUCUUUUUGAAACAGACUUAUUCACAGUCAGUCUGAACUUGUAAGACCAGUGGGGAUGACACAGAAGGGGACAGAGUUAGGGCAGUGGCUGCCCUAUAGAAAGCUUUCUCUAAAACUUCAACAGCCGAUUCAGUACCUGCUAUACCAAUUGCAAGAAACCAUUGGUUUUGAUAUAGAAAGUUUGAUCAAUCGUCUUCCAAAGGACCUUGGAAGGGAGAUAAAAUAUGAACUCUGCUUAGAACUCCUCAAGAAAGUGGGUUUUAAUUUUAUUAUUGCUGUUAUUAUCCAAUAGAACUGCUCUGCUUUGUACAUCAUUGUGAGUUCUAUUCAAUACCACAUUAUAAUUGCUUGAGAUGGUACGUCUGUAUUCUCAUUGUUGUUCUUGUAUGUAAUCAAGAUGGGAAAAUUUGGAAAGUGGAAGAGAGCAUUGCUGGAGGAUCUGUGUGAUUUUGUUCAGCCAGUUACCUACAUGGGGCACGCUUACAUUGUCCAUGAAGGAGACCCAAUUGAUAAGGCACUUUUGGUGGUGCAAGGUAAGCUACGGAUCUACAACUCCGGAAAUGUAACAAAAGCCUCCCCAGGCACUAAUAAUUAUCUUAAAGAUGGCGACAUUUGUGGAGAAGAACUUGUCGCUUGGGUUCAGGAUGCUUGCACUACAAUUGACCAUUUUUCAUCUGACCUCCCUACCUCAACAGGAACCAUUCAAGCACUUACAAAAGUUGAAGCCUUUGUUCUCACAGCCGAUGAUUUAUUACUCUUUGAGCAGAAACGAGUAGCUCCAUUCAUUAAAGCAGCUCGAUUUUUAAAAUUAUUCCAGGACAUUGUAAAAAGAAUUUUCUCAUUUUCUGGUAGCCAUGGACAGAUCGAUACUCAGGUGUAAGGGCAAACCAACAAUGCUUCAGCCUGCCAUCUCAACCAGAGCUAUUCAAGCAUAAAGUUGAAGCCUUUUGUCUAUGGCUGAUGACUUGAAAAAUGUGUCACUCAUUAAGCCUAGUCGGGCAGCUCUAUUCAUCCAAGCAACUUGAUUCAUAAAAUUGCUCAUGGGCGCUGUGAAAGGAACUUAAUUUCUCUCAUUCUACAAGGAAUGCAGAAACGUCUAGACAGAGCGCCCCACAAUUACGUGUGCAUUUGAGGCAGCUGCGCUGCAAUAUCCUCCUAGAAUAUAGGCAGCUGCUCCCUGUUAAGGAAGCAGAGUAGUCAGUGGAGCAGAGGAUUGCAACACCUGCAGCUUGCUGUUACAGGUUGAUGACAUGGCUUGCCAGCUGGAGCCUGGUGGUUAUAUAGUCUCUUGCACACGUGAAGAUUAGUAGGUUUGUUAUAGUAUUUCUUGUGCUUGUAAUUCAGUUUUAAUUAGUUAUAACCAGCUGAUUAGCACUUGCAAUUAGUUGAGAAUUAGUUCUAAUUACUACUGAUGUAUAUAAACAGAAGUAUGUACAGAUUCAGUCAAUUAAUGACUUGAGAUAAUAAAAACGAAGAAAGAGUUUUAGAAUUCUCUUAUUUUCCCUUAAGUUUUUUCUGUUUCCAAACAUCAUUGAAUUCUUACUUGGUAUCAGAGCCAGCCAAUAAUGGCGUCUGUUAAUCUUGCUUCUUCUUCCUCAAUUUAAACUCUUAAUCAUGCUACAAAUUCAACAACUGUUUCCUUUACCUUUAACACACCAGUCAAGCUUGAUCAGUCCAAUUAUCUCAUAUGGCGAUCUCAAGUCCUAGCCUCAAUUCGUGGAAACAGGCUCGAAAAGUUUAUUGAUAAUGCAGUCACUCCACCUCCAUCUCAUAUAGCUCAGAGAGUUGAUGAUAAACUCAGAUCUGUAAAGAAUCCAGAAUUCACAACAUGGAGAUCUCAAGAUCAAGUGAUGCUUGGAUGGCUGCUCUCUUCAAUGAGUGAAGGAAUCAUUAGUCUAGUGUUCAACCUGGAAACAUCACUUGAAGUGUGGAAAACUAUUAAGGUACAAUUUGGCUCGCAGUCUAAAUCCAGACUUUUACAUCUAAGAUACAUGAUGAAUUCAACAAGGAAAGAUAUGAUGAAUUCAACAAAAAAAGAUGAUAUGAAAAUCACAGACUAUUUUAUUAAGAUGAAAAACAUAGCUGAUAAUAUGGCUGCAGCAGGAAGUGCUUUAAGUAGUGAUAAUCUGAUUUUACAUGUAUUAUCUAGCCUAGGACCAGAUUAUAAUUCAGUAGCUACUUACAUUACUGGUCAAGUAGGAGUUGGUAAAAUGAAUGUAAAUGAAGCCUAUGCUAUGUUGUUAACUCAAGAGGCUAGGAUUGAACAACAAUCACAAAUGCUUGCUGGUGUGGAUAUGAAAAACAAUUUUUGAGGCAAAUUAUGCUCAAAAUAGAGGAGUUAAGAAGGGAAACAUAUCAGGUGGAAGAGGUUUUGGUGGUUAUGGCUAUAACUCUGGGUUUGGAAAUGGUGGUUAUUACAAAGGAAACUUUGGCACUGAAUCUACUAGUGGUGGUACUGGUUUUAAUAGUCAGUUCAAAGGUUAUCAAUCUGGUAAUCAAAUAGGAGGAGGAGGAGGAAACUAGAACAAUAACACUGGAGUUAACAAUUUUAACAAUGGGAAACCACCUAUGAACUCUAAACCUCAGUGGAAUACUUCAAAACCUACCUGCUAAAUCUGCCUCAAGCCUGGACAUACUGCAAACAUUUGUUGGAAGCUGGAAGAAUUCAUUGCUUUAGGCUCUUACAGAUCACCUCCAAAUAGAGGACCAAAGGCUGCCUAUUUAGCCAACAUGGAUGCUCCAGCUGAUACUAAUUAGUAUCUUGACAGUGGUGCUACACACCACCUCACUAAUGAUAUGAGCAAUAUGAAUAUGGCUGAACCUUUUACAGGUACUUCUAAACUUGUCAUUGGUAAUGGUGUUGGUUUAUUCAUAACACAUACAGGUUCUGCUGUUUUGAGAAUGAAAAGCUCUAUAAAUCAUGUUGAUCUUAAGCUAAACAAUAUUCUUCUUGUGCCUAAAAUAACCAAAAACCUGAUAUGUAUAUCAAAACUAACCAGAGAUAAUGAUGUUGUGGUAGAAUUUACUAAUGAUUUCUGUUUUGUUAAGGACAAGGUGAGGAAUUUGAUCAUGCUGCAGGGCAAAGCUGAAAAAGGAUUGUACAGAUUGCUAUUUGUCUCCUCAAAUAAAACCUCUCCUUAUCUGUCAAACCAAGGUCUUUUUGCUCAUGUUCAGUCAGAUGUCUCAACUCAACCUAUUUCCAUGUUUUCUGUUGUUGAUUCUAAAUGUCAAAAUAAAAUUGCUUCUCAGUUACAAACUGAAGCACAAUGUAGUCAAAACUCAGAUUGUAUGUUGAGUACUAUGGUUUUACACCAAAGAUUAGGUCAUCCCAAUGCUAGAGUGUUGAAUCAUGUUAUCAAUUCUUGUCCAUCUUUUAAAACCAUCGAUGGUAAUAAAGGUUUUGAUUCUUGUGAUGCUUGUAAGUUGGGAAAAAUGCACAAACUUCAUUUUCCAGUAACUGAAACCAAAACAAAAAAUGCACUUGAAAUCUUACAUACAGAUCUAUGGGGGCCUGCUCUUACACUUUCUAUACAAGGAUAUAAAUAUUAUAUCAGCUUUGUAGAUGAUUACACAAGAUUCACCUGGAUCUUUCCUUUAAAAACCAAAGUUGAAGCAUUUCCAGUGUUCAAAGUUUUCAAAGCUCAAGUAGAGAAACAAUUAGAUAAACCUAUCAAGUGUCUUCAAUCUGAUUGGGGUGGUGAGUAUAGAUCACUUGUUCAUUUUCUUUAAACAGAGGGGAUUCAGUUUAGACACUCCUAUCCAUAUACUCACAAUCAAAAUGGACUUGUGGAAAGAAAACAUAGACACAUCACUGAGUUGGGUUUAACCUUGCUUGCACAAGCCAAGUUACCUAUAAAAUUUUGGUGGGAUUCUUUUCAUACAGCUACCCACAUUAUAAACAAACUUCCAACUCCUGUUCUUUCCUUGAAAACCCCUUAUGAAUAUCUAUUCCAUCAAAAACCAGACUAUCCAUUUCUCAAAACUUUUGGUUGUGCUUGUUUUCCUUUCUUAAGAGAUUGCAAUCAUCACAAGUUUCACUUCCAUACUUCUAAAUGUGUUUUCUUAGGAUACAGCCCUUUACACAAAGGCUACAAGUGUCUUCAUCCAUCAGGAAGAAUUUACAUAGCUAGUCAUGUUUUUUUUUAUGAAACUUCCUUUCCAUAUUCUACUGAUUCUACCUUCUUACAGUCUAUGCCAUCUAAAUCUUCUGACUUCCUUUAUAAUUCCUUACAAGUAUAUCACAUCUCAGUUCCUAAUAGCAAUCAGAAUCCUUUAGCAGCUGCUCCUGCAGAUACAGAUUCUCAUGCCUCCAGUUCUACUCACAACAUCAUCUCUCUUCCUAUUCCUACAUCACAAGUAAUUUCCACCUCACUGAUUUCACCAAAUAAUACUAUAUCUUCACCCAUUGUCCACACAACAUCACCAGCUGCUACCAUAAACAUUAUACCAAACACUACAACUUCACCUGCAAUACUACAAAAUUCACCUUCCAGAUCACUUCCCUCAGCUACAACCAUAAACACUCAUUCUAUGAUUACUAGAGCUAAAGCUGGCAUAUUCAAACCAAAGGCCUUCUUGACAGAUCAUAACAGCCUAGAACCUUCCAAUGCUGGAGAAGUCUUAUCUGAUACUAAGUGGAAGGCAGCAAUGCAAGAUGAAUAUAAUGCUCUCAUUAGAAACAAAACCUGGAGCUUAGUACCAAUGAAUCCCGAAUACAAGUUAGUAGGCUGCAAGUGGGUUUUUAGAACUAAAUACAAUACUGAUGGUUCAGUCUCUAAGUACAAAGCUCGCUUAGUUGCAAAAGGGUUUCACCAAACUGCUGGGAUAGAUUACUCAGAAACUUUUAGUCCUGUAGUGAAAUCUUCUACUGUCAGGGUUAUUCUUAGCUUGGCAGUCAUGCAAGGCUAGAAUGUUAGACAAAUUGAUGCCAAUAACGCAUUUCUUAAUGGGGAUCUCAUUGAGGAUGUGUACAUGCAACAGCCAGAGGGUUUUGUUUCAGAGGGAGGAUACAUCUGUAAACUAAACAAAGCUCUUUAUGACUUAAAACAAGCUCCAAGAGCCUGGUAUGAUAAGUUUAAGGGAUGUCUUACAAGUUGGAAAUUCACUAAUUCUAAGGCUGAUACUUCUCUGUUUAUUAGGCAUGAUGUCAAAGGCAUAAUUCUUGUCUUAAUAUAUGUGGAUGACAUUCUGAUCACUGGACCAGAUUCAGACUUGCUGGAAUCUUUUAUUGCUAAGCUCAGCAAAGUUUUUGCAUUAAAAGACUUGGGUCUAGUAACAUAUUUCCUUGGUGUAGAAGUCAGCUAUACAGAUCAUGGAAUGCACUUCCCUCAGACCAAGUACAUCAAGGAUCUGCUGUCCAAAGCCUCAAUGCAAGACUACAAAGGAACUGACACUCCUUUCAGCACAGGCUACAAGUUGGAAAGGUCAACAAAAGGCUUAUUGGGUGCUGAAUUUGAGAAUCCAACCCUCUAUAGAAGCAUUGUUGGAGGUUUGCAAUACUUAAUCUUAACCACACCAGACAUUGCAUAUUUAGUGCAUAAGCUUAGUCAGUACCUCAGUGCUCCUACACUUCAACACUGGUUAGCUUGUAAAAAAGUGCUCAGAUACCUUCAAGCUACUGUCACAUAUGGUCUCUAUAUUUAGCAGGAGGGAACUCUGGAAACUAUAGGACUAACAGGAUAUUCAGAUGCUGAUUGGGCAUGUGAUAUUGAUGCCAAAAAAUCCAUUGGAGCAUAUUGCAUUUUCCUUGGUAAUAAUUUGGUUUCCUGGUCUUCAAAAAAGCAAGCCAUUGUAGCAAAAUCUAGUACUGAGAGUGAAUACAGAGCCUUGUCAGCAGCCAGCUCUAAACUUUCUUGGCUGCAAUCAUUAUUCUCUGAGCUCAACAUCACAAAAUUACCAACUUCUGUUCUAUGGUGUGAUAACCAGAGUGCUGGAGAUCUACCUAGAAAUCUAGUUUUUCACUCAAAAUCAAAACACAUAGAGCUAGACAUUCAUUAUAUUAGAGACAAGGUUCUUAACAAAGAAUUGGAAGUGAGGUACAUUCCCACUAAAGAGCAAGUUGCAGAUGUUCUUACUAAGCCCCUGUCAUUUCCUAAGUUUAGUUAUUUUCGUUCCAAGCUCAAUGUGUUCAACAGACCCUUGAGCUUGAGAGGGGAUGUUAAGGAAGCUCACAUGAGCAGAGUAGUCAGUGGAGCAGAGGAUUGCAACACCUGCAGCUUGCUGUUACAGGUUGAUGACAUGGCUUGCCAGCUGGAGCCUGGUGGUUAUAUAGUCUCUUGCACACAUGAAGAUUAGUAGAGUUUGUUAUAGUAUUUAUUGUGCUUGUAAUUCAGUUUUAAUUAGUUAUAACCAGCUGAUUAGCACUUGCAAUUAGUUGAGAAUCAGUUCUAAUUACUACUGAUGUAUAUAAACAGAAGUAUGUACAGAUUCAGUCAAUUAAUGACUUGAGAUAAUAAAAACGAAGAAAGAGUUUUAGAAUUCUCUUAUUUUCCCUUAAGUUUUUUCUGUUUCCAAACAUCAUUGAAUUCUUACUCUCCCCCAAACAUACCCUAUGUCUAGGCAGCUUGUGGAACCUCAUUUUAUUGCUAAAGAAAAAUAGGCUGGUCACACCCUAUGCUUGUUAUAAUAAGCUUAUUGUCAUUGAUUUUUAUUUUAAAUACAAAUUACAUCUCGUUUCUAAGCUAUUGAAUAAAUCUCGUGAAAGUAGUUUGUACACUGACUAUUGUUGUUACAUAUAUUUGGAAAUUUAGAGAACUAUUGAUGGCUUUAUGGUCCCUGCGUUUUGCUUUCCGCUGCAAGAAUUUAAGGCCAGUAUGAUGCAUAAAAGAGAAAGUUUUAAGUAGAAAUGGGGCAGAUUAUUAUAUAUUUUCAAGAUUUUUUCCCCUCCAAUUUCGGUGAGUUUAAUUAACCAAGGUUGAUUCACACAACGGAGAGGGGAAAAAAAAAAUAGGGUUCAAGUUUUAUCAAUUUUCAUCCACAACAUGGGUCCCUUUGAAAAACGGUCAGUGGUGUUGGAUCACCGAUCAUUUAGUCCAAAGUAAACCAUUCAAAGAAAAAUUUGUCUAUUGUCUGUCGACAGUAUCGUCCCGUUAUUGCACACUUCUUUUUGUCCUGAGCUAGCUCUUGAUUGAAUAGUUAGAUCUGAACUAACAUUUUUUUUUUUCGUGGCUGACUAAAGAAGACAAAGACUCUUAUCAAAUUGCCCGUAGUGGAAAAAUUUUAGGUAGCGCGGUACAAAAAUUUAGUAAGAUAGGAUUAGAUGGGGCCAUAGAUAACACAGCACAAAUGUCACACGUAAGACUGCAAAAUCCAAGUCUUUCAAAAGUAAAUUUGGCUGUGGGUAUUUGUGAUUAAUCCUUGAACCGAAAAAUUAGAAAUUGCUCUAAAAAUUGUAGAGCUAGAAAAAAGUAGAAAUUAGUGCAGAACACUCUAUAUUAAAUAAUUUAAUAGAAGAAAGAUUAGAAAAUACAAAAUUUCUAGUAGAUUGCACAUCUCCAUUAGACCCUAUAAUAAUAAUUAAAAAAAGUAAGUGUUAGAUAUUACACUCUUACGUACUUAUCUAUAGUAAAACAUAAUUACAAUAGGCAACUAAAUUUAUUAGAUCAUAUGAAAAUGUAAUUUUAAAAAUUAGAAAUAAACUAGAAUAGUUAAAGAAUUAGUUUAUGAAUUUUCAAAAACUAGCAUAUUUGGAUUUACAAAUUAGUAGUCAUAGGAAAAUAAAAUUAAACUUAAUCAUAAUAUAGAGCAUUUAGAAAAUCAAUAUAAACAUAUUCCAUAUACGAGUAAUGGUCAACAAUAGACUUAAUAAUUAAUCUUGGACAGCACUUAGAAGUUAAACUAGAAAAGCUUAAAGAACUAGUAUUACGGUUAGGACAAUUUUUUGAAGCAAGUAACAUAAAAUACACAAAGAAAGAAUUUAGACUAUAUUAAAGAGUCAUUAGCUGAUUUUAAUAGUCAAAUUACAAGGUUCGGUAAUAAAAAAGAAAUAAUAGAAUUAAUAAAAUUAUUAGACAUAAAAGCACCUAAACUAGUAGAAUUAUAAAUCAAAAGUCUUGUAAAAGUUUUAAAAGUUGAAAUAAAAAUAUUAAAAAUACACAAAGAGAUUUACAAAUACAAUUAAAUUCAAUAAAAUUAAUAGUAAAUGAAUGAGUUUAGAUAAACCGUUAAUAGAGUUCCACAAACAUUUAUCUGUAGUAAAAAAGUAGGAUAUAAUUUUAUUUUAGGAUUAAAUUUUAUAUUAGAAGAUAACAGUAGUAUAUUAACAACUACUAAUGAGAUAAAUUUCUUUAAAAAAUCAACAUUUGUACAACCUAAAUUUGAGAUGCAUAUUUUGCCUUACGAAAAGAAAUCACUAGCAAUGGAAAAAGAAGUAGAUAUUGCAUUUUUUGACUCACUAUCGGAGGAAGAAAAUGCAGUAGAUAGCAAGAUAGAAAGCACUAAGAAUUACAUAAUUAAGUUACACAGAGAUUUAAUAAUUAUAGAAAAAUAGGUAAUCCAUAAUUAGAAGAUAUAGAAAUAAAUAUGCCUAUAGUAAAAAAUUUAAAUACAGAUAAAGAGAAAACUCUACAUAAUAUUAGAGAUAAGAUUAUAGAAUUAAUAUUUAAUAAUCCUAAAAAAUGUUUAGAUGAAGAAUUAUUUGAAGAAUUAUGUAAUAAUGAGGAAUUAACAUAUGAUGAUGUAGAUUAAAAAAAUUCCUAUUUCUUUAAGUUUUUGUAUUAAUUUAAUAUCUUCACUAUAAAAUUUAAAAUACUUUUGUCCAUUUUUACUUAAUUUAUUAUAUAAUGGUCUCAUUAAUGUACUAAGAUUUUGGUAUAAAUUUCUUAUUGUAAUUUAACAAUCCUAAGAAAUUUAAUAUGCCAUAGAAUAUUUGAUUGGCUACUGAAAUAAAAUUUUUUUUACAAUGUCUAUACUAUCACCAAUGAGGGAAGAAAUUUUUUGAAUUUUUAUUAAUUGUCCUACUGGGGAAUGGUUAAAUAUUUUUUCUAGUGCUUGCUUUUGUUGAAGUGUUUUGAGUUUUCUGGUGAUAACUGAUAAGUAAUAAAAUCUGACAUUGAUUUUGCAGUACUAUAUUUUGUCUAAAUAAUUCAUUAUUAGUACUUUCUAAUGCAAUUAACUUUUGUCUACAUUCUUUAAUGGCUUUCAAUGAUCAUUCAAGGUCUCUGUACUUUUCACUCCAUUCUUUUUAUGCCGCUAAUUUAAAAAAAUGCAAGCAAAGAUUCAUUUUCACUUUUGUACAUUAGCUACACAGUAUAAAGAACAAUUGAAAAAAGAAUCUGGAAUUUUCUUGCACUUUACUUUCCCCGUUUUUCAUGCUUGAGCUACAGAGCUAGCCCGAAAAUAUUAUAAGCGGACCCCAAACAAUAAUUAUGUGUUCCUGGUUGACUUGAAAAAUCGAAGUCUUUGGGUCGUGCCUCUGAUAUUUAUUAACACAUAACAUAAGCAUCCACCGAAGACUGAGCCACUGAAGUGCUGAUUCGUGAAGGAUCCACCUGUAUUUAAUUGAAGGAAACUGAAUUUAAGCUUUGCUUCAUUUACUUUAAUUUUCCUUCGUAAGUGACUUGUUUAUUAAUUUGAUGAUAUACUUAUAGAGUCCUACUGAACUUAUGAUCAGGCUAUAUAUUAUUACAAUUAUUGUAUACGGUGACCAUGAUGAAGAUGAUUUUUUUUUUUCCAAGGUCUCAGGACUUGAAUGAAUUUAGAGGAAGGAACGUCGAGACUGGUUUCUGGCGUUGAAAUGAACAGGACCAGUAGGAUCAUGAGAGGAGUAAGAGAAAUAAAUGUUUGUCCAUUUCUGCGUAUUCCGCAGGGUGAAGUAAGAGAAAUAACUGUUUUUGGAGUUCCAUUUCUCUAUAUUCCGCUGCAUGAGGCUUUCUGGCUGUGUUGUUUGUAUUCAAUGGUAUUGGAUCCUGUUUUCUUGUACAUUCCUGUGACCAACGAUGAGAAAAAGUGCUUCCAAUUUGACAGAUGGGUGAUGAGUGUGGUUAUUGCUG